RNAcentral lists this ribosomal RNA (253 nucleotides) under uncultured bacterium. RNAcentral describes it as "partial 16S ribosomal RNA". It matches the Rfam family "Bacterial small subunit ribosomal RNA", at positions 524 to 776 of the family's 1533-position model. The record is from RNAcentral.
UACGUAGGGGGCAAGCGUUGUCCGGAAUCAUUGGGCGUAAAGCGCGUGUAGGCGGUCCGGUAAGUCCGCUGUGAAAGUCCAGGGCUCAACCCUGGGAUGCCGGUGGAUACUGUCGGGCUAGAGUACGGAAGAGGCGAGUGGAAUUCCUGGUGUAGCGGUGGAAUGCGCAGAUAUCAGGAGGAACACCAAUAGCGAAGGCAGCUCGCUGGGACGUUACUGACACUGAGGCGCGAAAGCGUGGGGAGCGAACAGG